Molecule: ribosomal RNA, 1469 nt
Filed under: uncultured bacterium
Lineage: Bacteria
Description: bacterial SSU rRNA
Rfam family: Bacterial small subunit ribosomal RNA
Source: RNAcentral
AGAGUUUGAUCAUGGCUCAGGACGAACGCUGGCGGCGUGCUUAAUACAUGCAAGUCGAACGGAGCCUAGUCUUUAGUUUACUAUAGACGAAAGCUUAGUGGCGGACGGGUGAGUAACGCGUGGAGAAUCUGCCCUCAAGACUGGGAUAACAGAGCGAAAGUUCUGCUAAUACCGGAUAUGCUCUGAGUGUCGCAUGGCACAAAGAGGAAAGCACAAGCGCUUGAGGAUGACUCCGCGUCCCAUUAGCUAGUUGGUGAGGUAAAGGCUUACCAAGGCGACGAUGGGUAGCCGGCCUGAGAGGGUGACCGGCCACACUGGGACUGAGACACGGCCCAGACUCCUACGGGAGGCAGCAGUAGGGAAUUUUCCGCAAUGGGCGCAAGCCUGACGGAGCAACGCCGCGUGAAGGAAGAAGGCCUUCGGGUCGUAAACUUUUGUCUUUGGGGACGAUAAUGACGGUACCCGAGGAGGAAGCCCCGGCUAACUACGUGCCAGCAGCCGCGGUAAGACGUAGGGGGCGAGCGUUGUCCGGAAUCAUUGGGCGUAAAGGGCGCGUAGGCGGUGACGUAAGUCAGGCGUGAAAGGCAUCGGCUCAACCGACGCACAUAGCCUGAUACUACGUUGCUAGAGUGCAGGAGAGGAGAGUGGAAUUCCAGGUGUAGCGGUGAAAUGCGUAGAUAUCUGGAAGAACACCAGUGGCGAAGGCGGCUCUCUGGACUGUAACUGACGCUGAGGCGCGAAAGCUGGGGGAGCAAACAGGAUUAGAUACCCUGGUAGUCCCAGCCGUAAACGAUGAACACUAGGUGUAGGGGGUAUCGACCCCUCCUGUGCCGCAGUUAACGCAGUAAGUGUUCCGCCUGGGGAGUACGGCCGCAAGGCUGAAACUCAAAGGAAUUGACGGGGGCCCGCACAAGCGGUGGAGCAUGUGGUUUAAUUCGAUGCAACGCGAAGAACCUUACCGAGACUUGACAUCCCGUGACCAUCUACGAAAGUAGAGUCUAGCUUCGGCUACACGGAGACAGGUGGUGCAUGGUUGUCGUCAGCUCGUGUCGUGAGAUGUUGGGUUAAGUCCCGCAACGAGCGCAACCCUCAUCCUUAGUUGCCAGCGGGUGAUGCCGGGGACUCUAAGGAGACAGCCGGUGAAAGCCGGAGGAAGGUGGGGAUGACGUCAAAUCAUCAUGCCCUUUAUGUUUCGGGCUACACACGUGCUACAAUGGUCAGUACAGAGGGGGGCGAAGGCGCGAACCGGAGCAAAUCCCUGAAAGCUGAUCUCAGUUCGGAUUGCAGGCUGCAACCCGCCUGCAUGAAGUCGGAAUCGCUAGUAAUCGCAGGUCAGCAUACUGCGGUGAAUACGUUCCCGGGCCUUGUACACACCGCCCGUCACACCACCCGAGUUGGAUGCACCAGAAGUCAUUUGCGGAUGCCGAAGGUGUGUCUGGUAAGGGGGGUGAAGUCGUAACAAGGUAGCC